Molecule: long non-coding RNA, 1324 nt
Filed under: Homo sapiens (human)
Lineage: Eukaryota; Metazoa; Chordata; Mammalia; Primates; Hominidae
Description: non-protein coding lnc-SERP2-7:1
Source: RNAcentral
GACAGCCAAUGCAGGAGGGUCUGGGGCACUGAAGAAGGACUAGUGUGGAGAAGGCAGGGAAUAGAUAAUACCUGAGGAGGAGAAUGAAUGGGCACAUGGAUAGAUGGCUGGCUGGGUAGCUGGCUGGCUGGCUGGCUGGAUGAAUGGAUGAAUGGAUGACUGGCUAAAUAAGGUUUGUACCAAAGGCUGUGGGAACACAAAGAAGGGAUCAUUAAUUUUGUCAGAGGCAGUCAAGGAAGACUUUGUAGAGAGUGACCUCUGAGUUGUACUUUAACAGCUGUGUUGGAAAGUUCAGGUGAGAGAGGAAAGGAACGGUGUUCAAGACAGAGGGAACAGCAGCCGCAAAGAUGUGGAAGCUUGAAGACCCCUGAAAACUUUGCUGAGUUUGGGCCACAGGUUACACGGGAGCAAAUGGGGCAGGUAUGAGGCUGACACCGUGGGUUGGGGUGAGAUAUGAAGGCAUGUGGUCAGGUUAAAGGGUCCAGACUUAAUUCAUUGGGCAAUUGAGAAAAAACAGAGGACUUGGAGCAUAGGUGUGAAACAUCAGAUUUUAGAAAGACAUAUCAGUAGACAAUCACUGUAUUUCAGGCUUUAGUGAUUCCUCACUUGGUCCAUGAUACAAGCCUCCAUGUCACACUUUGCUUGCUGCUUUGUAUAUCUGCUCAGCUGAGGCAUUUUUACAUAACCGUAUGUUAAAAGGGUCAUUAUUCCCACUGUACAGUUGGCGAAAGAGAAUCUCAGGGAGCUUAAAAAGAAUACCCUUUGGCAAAGCCAAGAUUCACACCGAAGUCUGUUGGAUCACCAAGUCUGUGUUUCAUUAUACUGAAUUAGAAGAUAAUAACAACGAGAAAGAAAAAAUGUGACAUCCAGGUGGAAAUACCCAAUAGAUGCCUUGGCAAAGUGAACCACGGGCUUCAGAGGAGUCAAGGCUAUAUCAAGGUCAACACCUCAUCCAGUGCUGUGCUGGGGGCAGCUCACACCAGCUCCAGGGAAGCAACUAUUAAAUAUUCUGAAAUUUUGCAAGCCAGUUGGGGGUGCCAGAAAUCACAUGGCCACACCUAGUACAAUGCGACAAGGAUGCAUAAUCUUCCCCCAGAGACAGCAAAAUGAGAGUGCUAGUACUACACAGCACACCGUCUCCUAAAGAAACUGAGGGGAAGCAAUCCGCCUGAUCAAGUAGCUCAUUAGUGGCAGAAUCAGCCUUUAAACAUCGUCAGACUCCAGGUUUGAGGAUUCCUUCCAGCACACCACAGCUGUUUCUAGGUCUCACUCUGGGACAGAGGCACCUGCCCUGAUCCACGCUUUCUGCCACUCUCCAGGAAUA